This is a non-coding RNA of Schizosaccharomyces pombe (fission yeast), 202 nucleotides long. NCBI's taxonomy places the organism in Eukaryota, Fungi, Ascomycota, Schizosaccharomycetes, Schizosaccharomycetales, Schizosaccharomycetaceae. The record is from the annotation of a GenBank genome assembly.
UAUGUCAAUCUUUUGAACAAUUUACGCGAAACGUAAUAAGAUUUCCUGAUGUUGGCAGUUGUUGGUGGGAGCCUAUUACACGUCGAGAAUUUAUAUACAUUUUUGCAAUAAUAAAAUAACUGAUGCUUAAAAGAUUGUAUUUUAAUCCAUUACUAAAUAAUUACUCACCAUUGAAGCUAAGAAAUCCGGACAUGAGAAGUAC